UUAGAUACCCCCGUAGUCCUAGCCGUAAACGAUACUCGCUAGGUGUCGGCCACGGUGCGACCGUUGUCGGUGCCGUAGGGAAGCCGUGAAGCGAGCCACCUGGGAAGUACGGCCGCAAGGCUGAAACUUAAAGGAAUUGGCGGGGGAGCACCACAACGCGUGGAGCCUGCAGUUUAAUUGGAUUCAACGCCGGACAUCUCACCAAGGGCGACAGCAGAAUGAUGGCCAGGUUGAUGACCUUGCUUGACAAGCUG
Molecule: ribosomal RNA, 254 nt
Filed under: uncultured archaeon
Lineage: Archaea
Description: partial 16S ribosomal RNA
Rfam family: Archaeal small subunit ribosomal RNA
Source: RNAcentral